UUCAUAUUUUCCAGCAGCUUUCUUGAACUUGAUUUGUUGUAUGUAUGUAAACUUAUAUGCUUAGAAUAAUAAGAAAGCUCAAGAAAGCUGUGGGAAAACAUGGA
This 104-nucleotide microRNA precursor is filed under the name Picea abies (Norway spruce). Its description in RNAcentral is "miR396e stem-loop (pab-MIR396e)". Its record names the gene pab-MIR396e. Lineage: Eukaryota; Viridiplantae; Streptophyta; Pinopsida; Pinales; Pinaceae. The record is from miRBase by way of RNAcentral.